AGCAGCCGCGGUAAUUCCAGCUCCAAUAGCGUAUAUUAAAGUUGUUGCAGUUAAAAAGCUCGUAGUUGAAUUUCGGGACCAAUUUGUUGGUCGUGCCUCGGUACGUACUGGUAUUAUUGGUUUCUCCCUCCUGAAGAACCUCGAUGUCAUUAAUUUGGUGUCGUGGGGAAUCAGGACUGUUACUUUGAAAAAAUUAGAGUGUUUAAAGCAGGCAUACGCUUGAAUACAUUAGCAUGGAAUAAUGAAAUAGGACGUUUGAUCCUAUUUUGUUGGUUUCUAGGAUCGACGUAAUGAUUAAUAGGGAUAGUUGGGGGCAUUAGUAUUCAAUUGUCAGAGGUGAAAUUCUUGGAUUUAUUGAAGACUAACUACUGCGAAAGCAUUUGCCAAGGAUGUUUUCAUUAAUCAAGAACGAAAGUUAGGGGAUCGAAGACGAUCAGAUACCGUCGUAGUCUUAACCAUAAACUAUGCCGACUAGGGAUCGGAUGAUGUUAAUUUUUAAUGACUCAUUCGGCGCCUUACG
Molecule: ribosomal RNA, 520 nt
Filed under: uncultured Glomus
Lineage: Eukaryota; Fungi; Glomeromycota; Glomeromycetes; Glomerales; Glomeraceae
Description: SSU rRNA
Rfam family: Eukaryotic small subunit ribosomal RNA
Source: RNAcentral